Carya illinoinensis is the source of this 3081-nucleotide RNA transcript. It is a transcript of the gene named proteinaceous RNase P 1, chloroplastic/mitochondrial-like, with no coding region annotated. The record is from RefSeq and is a predicted model, not a curated record. The transcript has 9 exons. Lineage: Eukaryota; Viridiplantae; Streptophyta; Magnoliopsida; Fagales; Juglandaceae.
UUCAUAUUUUGGUGUUAUCCACAACAGUUCAGCUUAUCAUUAUAUAAUAUUGCCUCGUACCAACAUAAGAAAAGUCCUUCCGACGGCCAGAGAUGGCGUCCUUCGCCUUCAACACUCUGCAACUCUUCUCCGUCACUCUCUUUAGAGCACGCGUUAAUCACAUUGAAACCAGGGUGUCUGUUACGGACCAACCUCAAACAAAAACAGUGAAUUUAAGAACUCUAAAAGAAGAUGGCGCUGGCUUUUCUUCUGCCAGGGCUAUAGAUGGCAGAACAGGAAGAAAAAAUGUGAAGAACCUCGGUGGUUCAGCGGUGGAGACGACAGAAAGGACAUUAACAAAAGAUAAAAACGCAAGGAAGACUUUGGGUUUUAGAGAAAAGAGGAAGAAGCGUUCUGGGAGUUCUUCUUUGAGGUCUAGAGACGAGAAUAUAAUGUUUAAUUCUUCAGAGGGCGGGGGUAGUAUAGUGGUUGAUGGAAAAACAAAGAAGAAACCCAAGAAAGGUGAUUAUAACCGGGUGGGAAAGGAGGGGAAGGGAUCUAAGAAAACUGAAUCUUCAGAAGUUUCUUUGAGGAUGGCAUUGGACAUGUGCUCGAAAAGAGGGGAUGUCUUGGGCGCAAUUCAAUUGUACGAUAAAGCAUUAAGCGAAGAGAUUAAGAUGGGGCAGUACCAUUAUACUGUACUUUUGUAUCUAUGUUCCUCAGCGGCUGUGGGUGUUAUUCGUCCUUCCAAAAGUGGGAGUGGUAUUAGGACUUUGAGUGCAAUCGACUCAGCCAAUGGAGUUGCUAGUUUAAAUUCCAUGGGGAUGAGUGCAUUGCAACACAAGGGUAACAGGAAUUCAGGUGCUACGGAGUUGAGUAUUCCUUUAUCAAAUAAUGAGCAUCUACUUGAUUUUUCUACAAGUAAUGGAACAACAAAUAAGAUGGAGUUGGCUUCUAGUAAUAGGUUCAACAAUUUAGGUAGUACUUACAAUGAAAAGGAGAGCUUUAGCCAGUAUUCUAAGAGUAUGAAAAAGUUGAAUCCUCAACCUUUGGAUGGAGUAAGUAAUCCAAAAAAGGGCGGUGAUGAUUUUUCAAGCACAAACUAUGGGAGUGGUAACCAAGAAGAUCAUAAAAUUCAAGUUGGUGAAGAUGUCAAGAAGUAUGCACUUCAAAGGGGAUUUGAGAUCUACGAGAAGAUGUGUUUAGAUAAUGUCCCAAUGAAUGAAGCAGCAUUGACCUCAGUAGCUAGAAUGGCAAUGUCGACGGGUAAUGGUGACCUGGCAUUUGAUAUGGUGAAGCAAAUGAAGUCAUUGGGGAUAAAUCCAAGAUUGCGUUCUUAUGGUCCUGCCCUAUCUUCUUUCUGCAAUAGUGGCGAUAUUGACAAAGCAUUUGCUGUUGAGAAACACAUGUUGGAGAAUGGUGUCUAUCCAGAGGAGCCUGAACUGGAGGCACUCCUAAGAGCUAGUGUGGAAGCCGGUAAAGGUGAUAAAGUGUACUACUUGUUACAUAAACUAAGAACAAGCGUACGGAAGGUCUCAUCCACUACUGCAGAUUUGAUUGUUAAAUGGUUUAAUAGCAAAGCAGCUGCUAGAGUGGGUAAAACAAAAUGGGAUCCAAGUUUGAUAAAGGAAGCAACUGAAAAUAGAGGUGGAGGCUGGCAUGGACAGGGCUGGUUGGGGAAAGGAAGGUGGAGCAUUUCCUAUACGACUGUUGGAGUUGAUGGUUUGUGUCAAUGCUGUGGGGAGAAAUUGGCAAUGAUUGACCUUGAUCCUAAAGAAACACAGAGUUUUGCUGAGUCUGUUGCAUCUAUAGCUAUACAGAGAGAGAGAAAAUCAAGCUUUCAGAAAUUUCAACAAUGGCUUGACUAUUAUGGACCUUUUGAAGCAGUCGUAGAUGCAGCCAAUGUUGGUCUUUUUGACCAGAAGAAAUUUGUACCAUCCAAGGUCAGUGCUGUUGUUAAUGGAAUACGCCAGAAGCUUCCUUCAAAGAAAUGGCCUCUUAUUGUUUUGCAUAACAAGCGUAUAACUGGACGGAAGAUGGAUGAACCAGUAAAUAGGGCCUUGAUCGAGAAAUGGAAAACUGCUGAUGCACUCUAUGCAACACCUACUGGGUCAAAUGACGAUUGGUACUGGUUGUAUGCAGCAAUAAAGUUUAAGUGCUUAAUCGUUACAAAUGAUGAGAUGAGAGACCAUACAUUUCAACUUCUAGGAAAUGACUUCUUCCCAAAAUGGAAAGAGAGGCACCAAGUGCAUUUCAGAUUUUCUCAAGCUGGUCCAGUCUUUCACAUGCCUCCUCCUUGCUCUGUUGUAAUUCAGGAAUCUGAUUAUGGCCACUGGCAUAUUCCAGUUGUAUCAGAACAUGAUUAUGAAACAGAAAGAAUAUGGCUGUGUUUUACACGUGCUAAAUCAUGUAUGACAAGGCAAGAUUCUGCCUCUAGCCCCGAAGAAACUCGAUCCCUUCAGCGUAACGAGGGACAUGCUAGGUCAGCUGCUCAAACUGACGUGAAAAUAAAGUCACAACCUUCUGAUGCAAAACGCGAAAAUAAAAGUCCAACUCAGGAAAUCUACAAAAAUCUGAGAGAGAUCCUGUUAGCAUCUGCAUGCUCAAAUAAUCAUGACACUAUACUACAACAGAUUGAGGCUGCAGAGAUGUAUGGUAACUGUGUACUUGAUUUUCAAAUAUAAAACAUAUGGCUUUCCUGCUCGGGACCUCAAAUGAUGCUGUGGGAAACCUAUCUCCAAACCCAUCUUGCUCGACAGAAAGCUCUGCAGUUCAGAGUACUUUGUUGUCGCUGCUGAAUUUAAAUGUACUUCUUUGAGUCUUCUUGGCAUCAUGAUGUUAACCUUAUUGGAGGAAUAUUUUUGGUGGCUGCUGUGAAAUCCUUCUGGGGUUCCUCUCACGUUAGUUGGGUGCGAGAGGAGGUCAAUUCAUGCAAAGAGAACUUCUGCUGGAAUAUUUUACAGCAAGCAGUUGUCUUGCCUGCCAGCCUCAUGCCCAAGAUGCUUUAGAUGCUAGGAUUUCUUGUGCAAAAUCAUUCUGCUCAGCCAUUAACCAUGAUCAAUCAGGUAGAAUCCUACAGCAGCCAUGUGUAUGAUUCAGAAA